UCCGGUUUGACACCGGCAGUCUCCCUAGAGUGCCCGACAUUACUCGCUGGCAACUAACGAUAAGGGUUGCGCUCGUUGCGGGACUUAACCCAACAUCUCACGACACGAGCUGACGACAGCCAUGCAGCACCUGUGUUACGGUUCCCUUUCGGGCACACCCACCUCUCAGCGGGCUUCCGGACAUGUCAAGGGUAGGUAAGGUUGUUCGCGUUGCAUCGAAUUAAUCCACAUCAUCCACCGCUUGUGCGGGUCCCCGUCAAUUCCUUUGAGUUUUAGCCUUGCGGCCGUACUCCCCAGGCGGGAUGCUUAAAGCGUUAGCUGCGGCACGGGGGGGGUCGACACCUCCCACACCUAGCAUCCACCGUUUAGGGCGUGGACUAC
RNAcentral lists this unclassified non-coding RNA (381 nucleotides) under uncultured bacterium. RNAcentral's name for it is "contains 16S-23S intergenic spacer region". The record is from RNAcentral.